This 431-nucleotide ribosomal RNA is filed under the name Triticum aestivum (bread wheat). RNAcentral's name for it is "partial small subunit ribosomal RNA". The record is from RNAcentral. Lineage: Eukaryota; Viridiplantae; Streptophyta; Magnoliopsida; Poales; Poaceae.
AGGAGGGGAACGGUAUUAAGACAUGGUUCGGCAGGUCGACGCGUGAUCCCAAGCCCUUUAGACGAGGCAGUGGAGAGAGCGGGGGAGAGGACCUAGAAGAGGGGGAAGAUAGACCAUGGAUCAAGGCCGCGGAAACUUCGUGCUCGAGGGGAGGAGAAGAGACUCAGCCCGGGCUACUUCAGCGGUAACGACGGCCGCUCGCGCAUUUACAUCGCCACAACACGACAUCGAGGACCCCUGCUUCUCCUUGAUGGGUUUCCUCGGCUGAUAGAACACGUGGAACUGCUAAAGUCCAACACGCCAACUUUAUCCUGGACCGGUAGCAGGAAAUAUCGAGUCCUAGGUUCGACGCCCUCGUGACCUGGCCCCUUUAACAAUGACGUCGCUUCGUACGGUGUAGAGGAGACCCCGAAGGGGCAGGGUCAGCGUGC